RNAcentral lists this ribosomal RNA (468 nucleotides) under uncultured bacterium. RNAcentral's name for it is "partial 16S ribosomal RNA". It matches the Rfam family "Bacterial small subunit ribosomal RNA", at positions 28 to 507 of the family's 1533-position model. The record is from RNAcentral.
GACGAACGCUGGCGGCGUGCUUAACACAUGCAAGUCGAACGGAAAGGCCCUGCUUUUGUGGGGUGCCCGAGGGGCGAACGGGGGAGUAACACGUGAGUAACCUGCCCUUGACUUUGGGAUAACUUCAGGAAACUGGGGCUAAUACCGGAUAGGAGCUCCUGCUGCAUGGUGGGGGGUGGAAAGUUUCGGCGGUUGGGGAUGGACUCGCGGCUUAUAAGCUUGUUGGUGGGGGAGUUGCUUACCAAGGCUUUGACGGGUAGCCCGCCAGAGAGGGUGACCGGCCACCUUGGGACUGAGAUACGGCACAGACUCCUACGGGAGGCAGCAGUGGGGAAUAUUGCACAAUGGGCGGAAGCCUGAUGAAGCAACGCCGCGUGCGGGAUGACGGCCUUCGGGUUGUAAACCGCUUUCGCCUGUGACGAAGCGUGAGUGGCGGUAAUGGGUAAAGAAGCCCCGGCUAACUACGUG